CCUACGGGAGGCAGCAGUGGGGAAUAUUGCACAAUGGGGGAAACCCUGAUGCAGCGACGCCGCGUGAGUGAAGAAGUAUUUCGGUAUGUAAAGCUCUAUCAGCAGGGAAGAAAAUGACGGUACCUGAUUCAGAAUCCCCGUCUAACUACGUGCCAGAAGCCGCGGUAAUACGUAGGGGGAAAGCGUUAUCCGGAUUUACUGGGUGUAAAGGGAGCUUAGACGGUGAUGCAAGUCAGAAGUGAAAGCCCGGGGGUCAACGCCGGGGCUGCGUUUGAAACUGUGUGACUGGAGUGCAGGAGAGGUAAGCGGAAUUCCUGGUGUAGCGGUGAAAUGCGUAGAUAUCAGGAGGAACACCAGUGGCGAAGGCGGCUUACUGGACUGUAACUGACGUUGAGGCUCGAAAGCGUGGGGAGCAAACAGGAUUAGAUACCCUUGUAGUC
Molecule: ribosomal RNA, 440 nt
Filed under: uncultured bacterium
Lineage: Bacteria
Description: partial 16S ribosomal RNA
Rfam family: Bacterial small subunit ribosomal RNA
Source: RNAcentral